This 16-nucleotide transfer RNA is filed under the name Leishmania tarentolae. RNAcentral's name for it is "partial tRNA-Gln". The record is from RNAcentral. Lineage: Eukaryota; Euglenozoa; Kinetoplastea; Trypanosomatida; Trypanosomatidae.
GCUCCUAUAGUGUUGC